RNAcentral lists this ribosomal RNA (253 nucleotides) under uncultured bacterium. RNAcentral's name for it is "partial 16S ribosomal RNA". It matches the Rfam family "Bacterial small subunit ribosomal RNA", at positions 524 to 776 of the family's 1533-position model. The record is from RNAcentral.
UACGUAGGGUGCAAGCGUUAAUCGGAAUUACUGGGCGUAAAGCGUGCGCAGGCGGUUAUGUAAGACAGGUGUGAAAUCCCCGGGCUUAACCCGGGAACUGCAUUUGUGACUGCAUAGCUAGAGUACGGUAGAGGGGGAUGGAAUUCCGCGUGUAGCAGUGAAAUGCGUAGAUAUGCGGAGGAACACCGAUGGCGAAGGCAAUCCCCUGGACCUGUACUGACGCUCAUGCACGAAAGCGUGGGGAGCAAACAGG